This 235-nucleotide ribosomal RNA is filed under the name uncultured bacterium. RNAcentral's name for it is "partial 16S ribosomal RNA". It matches the Rfam family "Bacterial small subunit ribosomal RNA", at positions 99 to 334 of the family's 1533-position model. The record is from RNAcentral.
CGGACGGGUGAGUAACGCGUGGGUAACCUGCCUUGUACAGGGGGAUAACAGUUGGAAACGGCUGCUAAUACCGCAUAAGCGCACAGCAUCGCAUGAUGCAGUGUGAAAAACUCCGGUGGUAUAAGAUGGACCCGCGUUGGGUUAGCUAGUUGGUGAGGUAACGGCCCACCAAGGCAACGAUCCAUAGCCGACCUGAGAGGGUGACCGGCCACAUUGGGACUGAGACACGGCCCAA